AGGUGUGAAGGUGGCAGAUUUGGAAGUCUAUGCAUCCAGAGGAAUUAAAAAUACAGUCUAUCUGUUCCAGGAAAGACUUUGCUCAUUUCCUUCUGAUACUGAAGAACAUUUUAUUGUGUGGAUUUGCCACGGUUUAUUUAUCCCUUCAUCUCCUUAUGGUUAUCUUGGUUUCUUCCAAGUUUUGAAGAUUAGGAAUAAAGCUGCUACAAAUAUCCAUGUGCAAGUUUUUGUUUGGAUAUAAGUUUUUAAAUCAUUUGAACAAAUGACAAGGGUGAUUGCUGGAUUGUAUGUUAAAAGUGUGCUCAGUCUUGUAAGAUAGUUCUUUUUUCAAAAAAUAGUUUCCAUUUCUCUACCCAUAAUUUCUGUUUUUUUCCCCCUUUGUUCAAGAGUACUCAUCUUUACUUUAUGAAGUAUAGAAAUACUAGCUGCUUUAAAAUCUUGGUCUGAAAACAGAAUGAAAUUUUGUUGUUUGUCAUUUGCAGGUAAAUGGAUGGAACUGGAGAACAUCAUCUUAAGUGAAGUUAGCCAGGUUCAGAAGGCCAAAAGCUGCAUGUUUUCUCUCAUAUGUGGAAUAUAGACCUAAUACAAAUACAGCAAUAUUAUGAAAAAUAGGUCAUGUUAAAGAGAGUGAGGGUAAAAGAAGGAAGUUAAAAAGAAAGAAGAGAUUUGCUUGGAAUGUGAAUGGUCUGCAGCAGCACUGUUGUAGUUCCAUGGUUUGCCUGCCCUUGGUUGAAGAAAUUUCCAUAACUAGGAUACUGUGAACAGAGUCAAAAUAAACAUGGGUAUGUAGAUAUCUCUACACUAAGCUGGCUUUGAUUACUUUGGGCAUAUAUCCAGAAGUGGUAUGGCUGGAUCUUAUAGGAAUUCUGUUUUUAAUUUUUUUGAGGACUCUUCAUGCUGAUUUCCAUAGUGGCUGGACUGCUUCACACUCCCACCAGCAGUGUGGAAAACUAUACAGCAUGGAAGAAAAAACUGUAGAAGACACUAGGAAGUGGAAAGAUCUGCCAUGUUCUUGCAUUGGCAGAAUUAAUAUUGUUAAAAUGGCCAUCCUUUCAAGAGCAAUAUACAAAUUCAAUGCACUCCUCAUCAAAAUUCC
RNAcentral lists this long non-coding RNA (1096 nucleotides) under Castor canadensis (American beaver). RNAcentral describes it as "lncRNA (ENSCCNG00000024322.1)". The record is from RNAcentral. Lineage: Eukaryota; Metazoa; Chordata; Mammalia; Rodentia; Castoridae.